This 86-nucleotide transfer RNA is filed under the name Phycisphaeraceae bacterium. RNAcentral describes it as "tRNA-Leu". It matches the Rfam family "tRNA". From Rfam's summary of the family: Transfer RNA (tRNA) molecules are approximately 80 nucleotides in length. Their secondary structure includes four short double-helical elements and three loops (D, anti-codon, and T loops). The record is from RNAcentral. Lineage: Bacteria; Pseudomonadati; Planctomycetota; Phycisphaerae; Phycisphaerales; Phycisphaeraceae.
GCGGGCGUGGCGGAAUUGGCAGACGCGUCAGGUUUAGGUCCUGAUGUCCCUUACGGGACGUGUAGGUUCGAGUCCUAUCGCCCGCA